Zea mays is the source of this 3691-nucleotide RNA transcript. RefSeq lists it as uncharacterized. The transcript is spliced from 3 exons. The record is from RefSeq and is a predicted model, not a curated record. Lineage: Eukaryota; Viridiplantae; Streptophyta; Magnoliopsida; Poales; Poaceae.
GGCCACGGUGUGCCCACCGGCGCCGCGGAAGCCGACGAGGCCAUUAGCGCUCAACAGCAAGAGAAAGCGUUGCUGCCUGCAGCGCGUCUUCUCCCCCAUGCCGCUCGACCUCUCCACGGUGCAGUGUUCGUGCUGCGUGGCCCCGCGGACAGGUCGUCGUUGCCGCCGCCUAGGGCCGCCAAGAUCCGCCUGCAUGUCGUGGCCUGAAGUGCUGUGUCGUCGGUCGCCGGCUCGUUGGAGUCCAUACAACUAGCCCACAGGGAUUGGGGAGAUUUGGCCUCAUGCAAGGGGAGAGAUCAGCGAAGAUGCGUGAGGGCGAAAAGAUUAGAGAAACUUGUUGGAGAUGUUGGAGGGGAAAAAAAAUCCGUGCGAACCGACCGCAACAAGCAGUGUGCGGGAAUUAGUCUGGAUUGCUUUCGCGUGGCGGUUAGAGUUGUACCCUGUCUCUCUAUGUAAUGGGCCUAGAUCUAGAUACCCUUAAUAUAAAUGUAUUUCCCAACCCAGUUAGGGUUAGAAUUUUCCCUCCAAUAUGGUAUCAAAGUUUUCAGCCUCCUCCCUGGCCGCCGCCCUCCCCUAGCCGCCGGCUGCCCACCCUUCCAACUGUCGGUGCCCUUCCGGCCGCGCUCCUCCCCCUCUGCUCCCUCUCGUCGCGCUGGUUCGCGCAGGUCCGCAGCCACCGGGGCGCCGACUCGCCGGUGCGGCGCCGCCCAGGUUGAAGCUCUAUGGCCGGAUCCCCGCCUCCCUCGCGCGGCUCGACCAGCUCAAGUCGCUCACCCUCGCGUGGCUCAACCAGCUCACCGGCGUGAUUCCCAUCGAGCUUGCCACCUGCCGCUUCCUCAACUCGCUCAGGCUCUCAACCAGCUCGAUGGCCUGAUCCCGCCCUAGCUCGACGGUGCUCACGGCCGGCAUGCGGCAGCUCGACCCACCCCCAUCUCCUGCUGCUCGCGAUCUCCACCGCCCGGAAUUCGAACCAGGCCACCCACAGACCAGUCCACUACAGGCUGUCGGCCUCCGUUCGCUCCUCUGCGCCAGUCAUCGCGCCCCUGCGUUGCCUGCUGCCGCCCACACCCUCGGCGGCCAUGGACGCGCACGCGAUGGACUGCACCAUCGUCGGCGCAGCCGCACCCCUUGCCCCUACUGGUGCAGCCGCGCGCCCAGCUACGCCCUUGCCCGCCAACCUCUCCUCGCCCAGCGCUGCCACCGCCGGCGGCCUUGUCCCCUCCGGGCUUGGCCUACCGGGCUACCCGGCGUCCCUUGACGCCCUUACCGGCCUUCUAUCACUGACCCACUUCCCCAGGAAGCCUCCUCCAGGGUUCUCCACCACCCGUCCACUCGUUGUCGACGCCACCUGGACUUCCGUGGUGCCCCAAUCUUAUCGGACGGUUGGCGCAAGCACAGCUUGGCUCGAUUCCGUUCACAACUCCAUAUUUCUCUUGUUUAGAAACGACUCCGUCGCCAUCGUCUAUCAGAUUGGAGACUCUUUGAUCCUGCGUCGCCGCUCGUGCGAUUCCAAUUCAAGCGACUCCUUCGAUCGUCGUCGUCGUGGUGGUGAGGCCCGCAGUCCACCGUAAAAAUGCAUGUUCCUGUUUAAUCAUCUACUAAUCUUCUUAGCCCUAGUCGUCAUGGAGGUUGAUUUAUCUCUCGGUGAGGACGCUGCUCCGGUUGAAGAUCGUGAUGUCGUCGGAUAUGAGGAUGUUGAUUUCAACACACAGUCUCGUACCAUGGAAUGUGUAGAUGCAGGGAUUCAUGCAACUCAUGAAGGGGAUCACACAGCUCAAGUGGCUAAUAAAUUUUUGCAUAUUUCAAUCGCUCCUAAAGUUGGAAUGGCUUUUGAAUCUGGGGACAAUGCUUAUGAGAUGUGUAACAACUAUGCUAGCAAAAUUGGGUUCAGCAUUAGAAAGAGCUCCUCAAAGCUACGACCAGAUGGUACUAUAUAUCAUAAAUAUAUAGUUUGCAGUGCCGAAGGACAUGAAAAAACUUAGUCAUCAAAAGGCACGACGGACGGGAUGUGGUGCUUCGCAUUCAGCUUGUUGUCAACAGAGAGGGAAUUUAGACAGUCAAUAAGGUUGUACUUGAGCAUAAUCAUUAUCUUGCUAGUCCAAAUAAGAAGAAAAAUCUAAGAUCCCAACGACAUGUCUCAGAAGCAGAUAUAAAGCUAAUAGGCCAGAUACAGGAAGCUAGAAUGAGGCCUGCCCAAGUGUAUGAGUUCAUGAAAGAGUUCUAUGGAGGAGCCGACAAAGUGCCAUACUCAAAGAUGGAUUGCAAUAAUGAGAUUGGUCAUGAACGCAAGAAGUACUUAGAAUCCAAUGACGCACAAACACUAUGUAACUACUUGAAGAAUAAGCAGCGUGAGGAUCCAACAUUUUUCUAUGCAGUUGAUAUAGAUCAGGAAGAUGGACCCGAUAAAGGUCAAAUAGCUAAUUUCUUUUGGGUAGAUGGCCAAUCUAUUAUGGAUUAUGCAUGUCUUGGUGAUGGUGUGUCAUUCGACACCACAUUUCAAACUAAUAAGUUUGAAAUGCCUUUUGCUCCAAUCCUUGGUACCAAUCAUCACAAGCAAACCAUACUUUUUGGAGUUGUGUUGCUAUUUGAUGAAACAAUUCCAUCAUUUGUAUGGCUAUUUGAAAGUUUUUUAACAGUAAUGUCUGGUAAGCACCCAAGCACAAUUUUCACUGAUCAAGACGCAGCCAUGGCAGGUGCUAUUGCUUAUGCAUUUCCAACACAAGCCAUUGUCUUUGUAUAUGGCAUAUUUAUAUUAAUGAUGCUAAACAUCUCAUACAUGUAAUUAGUAAGCAUAAGGAGCUUCUGCCUGCUUUUAAGAGUUAUGUCUAUGAGGAUAGAUCAGAAUAUUACUUCAAUAAAAGUGGCAUGAUUUGUGCGGGAGUACGACCUCGAGGACAAUGACUAGAUGGCGAACCUUUAUAACUUGAGGGGGAAAUGGGCUAUUAUCUACCGUGACUCUUUUAUAGCCGACAUAACCUCUACUCAAAGGAGCGAAGGCAUGAAUAAUGUCUUCAAGAAAAGGUUUCGUAGGAAACUAGGUCUUUCGGAACUCCUUGUAGAUUGUGAGAAGGUGUGCGGCAAUCUUCGUGAAAACGAGGUGAAUGAAGAUUUCCAUUCACGUCGUAAGAUCCUAGUUACUUACAACCCAAAUUUACCUAUGUUGAAGACUGCAGCUGAAUUAUAUACAAGGAGAAUGUACUUGGAGUUUGAGACAGAAUUUAAAGAUCAAUUUGUAUUAACUGGUCAAUUGUUAAAGAUUGAGGGAUUGAUCUUGACAUAUAUGGUUACACAUAUACAAUUAGACUAAGGGGCAACAGUUCUGUUCAACAUUGAAAUAUGACCAUCACAUGUUCUUGCAGAAAGUAUGAUUUUAUAGGUAUAUUAUGCAAGCACGCCCUCAAAGUCUUCAACAAAAAGGAUAUUUUUUAUUUGCCAUCGAAAUAUAUACUCAACAGAUGGACUAAAUAUGCGAAAAGCAGAUUUUUUGUUGAGAAACAUGGCCUCGAGAAGGAGAAUUUGACAACUCAAGUUGCACGUAUCUCACGAAAGGCGACAUCUAUUGCAUUGAAGUGUUCUUUAUCUAAAGAGCUUCUUGAUGAUUUGGAGAACGCCAUAGAUAAGCUAGACUUGGAUGCAAAUAACUCUAUAUUGAAGGUGCAAGAAAAAGAUAAUGAAGUGCCUCCAGUUUCAG